CGACAGGCUAACACAUGCAAGUCGAGGGGCGAUCACGGGAGUAGCAAUACAACUGGUGGCGACCGGCGCACGGGUGAGUAACGCGUAUGCAACCUACCUAUCAGAGGGGAAUAACCCGGCGAAAGUCGGACUAAUACCGCAUAAAACAGGGGCACCGCAUGGUGAUAUUUGUUAAAGAAAUUCGCUGAUAGAUGGGCAUGCGUUCCAUUAGGUAGUUGGUGAGGUAACGGCUCACCAAGCCGACGAUGGAUAGGGGAACUGAGAGGUUGGUCCCCCACACUGGUACUGAGACACGGACCAGACUCCUACGGGAGGCAGCAGUGAGGAAUAUUGGUCAAUGGGCGGGAGCCUGAACCAGCCAAGUCGCGUGGAAAAGGGAAGAAGGAUCUAUGGUUCGUAAACUUCUUUUGCAGGGGAAUAAAGUGCAGGACGUGUCCUGUUUUGUAUGUACCCUGAGAAUAAGGAUCGGCUAACUCCGUGCCAGCCGCUGC
This 491-nucleotide ribosomal RNA is filed under the name uncultured bacterium. RNAcentral describes it as "bacterial SSU rRNA". It matches the Rfam family "Bacterial small subunit ribosomal RNA", at positions 40 to 518 of the family's 1533-position model. The record is from RNAcentral.